RNAcentral lists this ribosomal RNA (252 nucleotides) under uncultured bacterium. RNAcentral describes it as "partial 16S ribosomal RNA". It matches the Rfam family "Bacterial small subunit ribosomal RNA", at positions 335 to 612 of the family's 1533-position model. The record is from RNAcentral.
ACUCCUACGGGAGGCAGCAGUGGGAAUCUUAGACAAUGGGGAACCUGAUCUAGCCAUGCCGCGUGAGCGAUGAAGGCCUUAGGUUGUAAAGCUCUUUCAGCGGGAAGAUAAUACGGUACCCGCAGAAGAAGCCCCGCUAACUCCGUGCCAGCAGCCGCGGUAAUACGGAGGGGCUAGCGUUGUUCGGGAAUUACUGGGCGUAAAGCGCGCGUAGGCGGAUUGGAAAGUCAGAGGUGAAAUCCCGGGGCUCAA